UACGAGCAGCAGCAUUCGUUCCUGACGAUUUGAAGUAACCCGCAGUAUAGAUUGGUUCAUGAUUGGUCCAAACAUCCACGUAGUGGCAGCAGUCGGCAGGCUGUCAAUCGACGACACCUAAAGCUGUAGGUUGCGAUGACCAUGCAUACACGCCUCCCUUGCGAUGAUGCAGCGCGUCGUAAUUUUCUCUUCCUCUUUGUUAGCAAAAUAUCAAUGUGUUUUCGAUAUUUUUUUGUCCAGAUUACAGUCAUCUCUUGUUCGAAUUUAACCCUUUUCUGUGUUGUUUGUCCUAAAUAUUUUUGUAAGUUGCAAUCGUAUUAUGAAAUUAAGGCUAUCGGAUUAAAUAUUAUUUAAAUAUUUAAAUCAUUGUGUUUCGGCAAAACGUAGGGCAUUAGAUGUUAUUUUAUUUGUAAUUAGGUAUGCAUCAUUGGAUUCACAAUUUCCGAUAUCUCAUUUAUAAUUUUAUUUGUUAAAUGCAGAUAAUAUGGACAAGUUUCUUCUUGGAUUGAAGUACUAUGGAUAAUACGAACAUGUCUUUUACUGUAUGGAUAAUAUGGACAAGUUUCUUAGGGUAAUUCUUAUAUUUCAGCAAAUUUAAGUACUUUGAUUUGGG
RNAcentral lists this long non-coding RNA (613 nucleotides) under Hordeum vulgare. RNAcentral's name for it is "long non-coding RNA (HVUL_LNC004549)". Lineage: Eukaryota; Viridiplantae; Streptophyta; Magnoliopsida; Poales; Poaceae. The record is from RNAcentral.